AUGGGGAUGAGGCCGUGCCAAAGCCAAGGGAAUUUGGGGCAGAAGCAGCGAAGGUUUGGGGCUGGGGGAGCGGCCGUGACCCUGCUGGAGCCCGGGGGCACCUCCAGCCCCCCGGGGGCUCCCUGCGCCUCCUCUGCCGAGCAUCCGGGUUCAGUUUCGGGAGCUUUGCCAUGGAAUGGAUCCGCCAGAGACCCGGGCAGGGUCUGGAGUGGCUCGCGGGGAUCAACAGCAAUGGUGGCAGCACCUACUACGCGCCCUCGGUCAAGGGCCGGUUCACGAUCUCCAGGGACAACGGGAAGAGCUCGGUGACGCUGACCAUGAACAGCCUCAAGGACGAGGAUUCUGCCACCUAUUUCUGCGCCAAAGAUGCUGCUGGUGGUGGUGCUAAUGGUGCUGCUGAUAUUGACGGCGCCGGCCAUGACCCCAUCCCCAACCACCAUCACCAUCAGCACCGUCACCGUCUGCAUCCCUGGCACAGGAACAGGACCCGGAAUCCUCCCCAGGGAGUUCCCCCAUGCUCUGGAUCCGCCAGAGACCCGGGCAGGCCCCAGAAUUCUCUGCCUGAAUCAGCAGCGCUGGCAGCCCCUGGGACACGAGCUCGGGUCAGGAUCUGCAGGGACAACGGGCAGAGCUCGGUGA
Non-coding RNA from Agelaius phoeniceus (red-winged blackbird), 639 nucleotides. The record is from the annotation of a RefSeq genome assembly. Lineage: Eukaryota; Metazoa; Chordata; Aves; Passeriformes; Icteridae.